CUCUGUGUCUUUGGACAAGCCGCUUUAUCUCCUGGGCCGCGAUUUUCUCAUCUGUAAGUGGGGAGUAAUCACAGUAUCUACCAAGCAGGGUUUUUCUAAGGAUUCAAAGAGGCGAUUUACGAAAGGGCUCUGAAAAAUGCUGAGCAAAUAUUAACUAACAAUAAGAUUAUAAUGAAACAAAAUAAUACAGUUCAAACUGUAUUUCCUCUCCAGGAUCCCACUGACUCCUCACAACAGCACUAUUUUGAGGUGUGCCUGUGAUUCUCCCCAUUUUCCAGAUCGGUAAACUAGGGCCUGGGUCAAGGGCGGAAGUUGCCCAAAGUUAAACAGGAAGUGGGGGGACCGGACAAACAGCAGAGCCACAGGCUCUCCCCGCACCAGACAGUUUUUCAGCCUGCGGCUUUUCUGACCCAGCCUCCAAAUGGACUUCGUUCUCCUGGCUCCGUGAGAGUGCACCGGCUCCAUUCCCCGCCCUCGGUUUUUGUUUUUCCUUUUUGUUGUAAUUCUCACUGGUGGAAAUCAAAUGAUUGUUUUUCUUGCUUGUUAUCCAUCUCUCCCACAAGAAUAUCAGUUCCGGGAGGACAAGGUCCUUGUCUUUUAUGUUCAUCAGAAAAUUUAAAGCAGGUCUUCAGUAAAGAGCUAGGGAAGGAUUCGAUUAUCUUCCAAUUAUUAAUGAAGCUUGGAGUCCAGCGGCGCCACCUGUGAUGCAGUGCCCUAUUCAAGCCAGCAGAUGGCAGCAGAGAACAAGGUAGCCUGGGAGAGAGAUGGGCCCGUGCACCUGUCCACAGAGAGCCUCCAUGCAGCCGUACCUCCUGGGCCGGCCCUGGCACCGCCAGCUCCUGAGUUCGCCCUGCCCCUCGGACGCCGGCAGAUCUUGCCGGAGAUCAUUUUCUGAAAGACUCGCCUCCUGACCUCUUGCCGGGAGCCGCGGACAAGAUUAGUUUUAAGCCUCGGCCCAGCCGGUUACUUUCAGCAGAGGGUCCGAGAGUGUCCACGAGCGGGGUGUUAUUGUGUCACACAAAGGAAUGUUGUAAUCAUCCUCUAAGACCCUCCUUGGGGGACCACUGUGCCCUGGUUUUCAAGAGCUUUGGCAGAUGCUGCUUUGAGAGUUGCCAUUUGAAACUCAAGAGCACCCAUCCUGGUACCGGUCCUGUUCAAGGCAAACUGCCGUCAUCCAAGAGACGCCCAGGUGUCGGGGACCACAGGCGAGCUGUAAAUAACCCAGUCCGUGGCUGUAGAUCACCUCUGGCUGGACAGCCACGCCACCUCCACGGCCGCCCAGCUGGUAGACGCAGCCGCCUUUGGGAACAGGUGGCCCGCAGGGGCGGUGGCUGGUCUCCGCCGCAGCCUUGGAGGACCAGCCUGAUUCCAGCCUCAGACAACCCACCCACCCACCCAGUGCUCGGCCAGGCCCCAGCCACAGGCUUUCACGUUAAACAGGUUCUGACACUAAAAAUCAAGGUCUGCCGGCUGUUGUCAUAGGAAUGCAAUAUCCUCCGGAGGUCUCCUUAUUAAAAAACCACAUCUUGCGGCUGCCCAGGCUGGAUCUCUAUUUCAUUUGUAUUGAUCACAGGGAAAUGUCUCAUUCCCUGGCUGACAAAUGCAGCCAGUAGGGAGGGAGUCCGUGUUUGGUGGAAAACAUUUAUGUUCACAGUGAUCUGGGGGAUCCUGAGGCCGGAGCUGUGAGGUUUUGUGUGUGUGUGUGUGUGUGUGUGUGUGUCUGUGGGGAGGGGGGAGGUCAUCUCUAGUUAGGCUGUGGGAUUACAAACGUAGUGAUAACAGGGGCUUCGGAAAUUAGCCAGGGUGACCACUUCAUUUUAAAGACUUUGGGUCAAGGAUGGGACCUGACUUCCCCUCUUCCCGGGUAGUAGCGCUUCUAGGAGUCUGCCCUAUAGAUGGUACCUGCCAUUGUGUGAAGGGAUAUUCAACACAGCACUGCUUGAGGUGCCAAGUUGGGGAAACCACCUCCACAUCCAUUACUGGAGAUUGGGUUAAAAAAAAAAAGUAUGAUAUUAGGCAGAACCACGUUAAGCUGCCACUUCUGCUGGUCAAAAAUGGUUGAAUAUUGAUAAUCUCAUAUGGGUCCAUCUACCACCUCUACCAAAUAGGAUGGUGUGCACUUUUUUUAAAUAAAAUUUUUUUAUUGAAGUAUAGUUAAUUUACAAUGUUAUGUUAGUUUCAGGUGUACAGCAAAGUAAUUCUGUUAUACAUAUAUGUGUGUGUGUGUAUAUUCUUUUCAGAUUCUUGUCCACUAUAGGCUAUUACAAGAUACUGAAUAUAGUUCUCUGUGUUAUAACAGGCAGUCUUAAAAAGGAUAAGAUGGAGGACCCUCCAAGAUGUAUUAGAAAAUGGAAAAAAGCAAGCUGCAGAAUUGUGUACUGGUAUGCUCUGUAUAUAUGUUUUUUUUUUUUUUUUGAAAGGGAAAUAUAUGCAUAACUGUUGGAAUAAGCCUCGACUCUGGAAGGAAACACUAGAAAUGGUCCACAGAGACUGCUUUGGGGGCGGGACCGAGGAAGGCUGAGACCGAGGUUGACUUUCCUCUUUACAGCUUCUCUAUUUUCCUAAUUUUGUACGUGUGUGUGUGUGUGUGUGUGUGUGUAGGGUGAAUACAAAAUCAUUAAAAUUUGAAACAAAGAUCAGAAUGUCAGGGAAGCCAUCAUUAUAUUAGAGGUUAAGUGCUCAGACUGUGGUCUGGGAAUUCUGGGCUUCAAGCUACUUGUCUCACUGAGGAGCCUCAGUUUCCUCAUCUGUCGAGUGGGGGUAGUAACAGUGUUUACUUCACAAAGGGGAACUGAAGAUUUCCUUGAGAUGUGAAAGGGACAGGGUCAGCCCAGCGGCACAGGGAAUUCAGUGAAUGUUAGAUGUUAUUAUAGAUGAUACAUAAAUCAUAACACACAAAUCCUUACAAUGUCUUACUUGGCAUUGUUGUUUUCUUGAAAUAAAAUUUUUUUAUUGAAGUAUAGUUAAUUUACAAUGUUAUGUUAGUUUCAGGUGUACAGCAAAGUAAUUCUGUUAUACAUAUAUGUGUGUGUGUGUAUAUUCUUUUCAGAUUCUUGUCCACUAUAGGCUAUUACAAGAUACUGAAUAUAGUUCUCUGUGUUAUAACAGGCAGUCUUAAAAAGGAUAAGAUGGAGGACCCUCCAAGAUGUAUUAGAAAAUGGAAAAAAGCAAGCUGCAGAAUUGUGUACUGGUAUGCUCUGUAUAUAUGUUUUUUUUUUUUUUUGAAAGGAAAUAUAUGCAUAACUGUUGGAAUAAGCCUCGACUCUGGAAGGAAACACUAGAAAUGGUCCACAGAGACUGCUUUGGGGCGGGACCGAGGAAGGCUGAGACCGAGGUUGACUUUCCUCUUUACAGCUUUCUAUUUUCCUAAUUUUGUACGUGUGUGUGUGUGUGUGUGUGUGUAGGGUGAAUACAAAAUCAUUAAAAUUUGAAACAAAG
Molecule: long non-coding RNA, 3438 nt
Filed under: Bos grunniens (domestic yak)
Lineage: Eukaryota; Metazoa; Chordata; Mammalia; Artiodactyla; Bovidae
Description: lncRNA (ENSBGRG00000004015.1)
Source: RNAcentral